UAUAUAUAUAUAUAUCUCCAAUCAAUUUUCUAUUUCUAUACCUAGAUGGCAAGCAAUCCAGGGGGUAAAAUCAUAUAAUCAUGCAGAUUUGCCCAAUUUCAUAUUUACAGUUUUUAACUUACCACAUCUUUCUGUUGGUGUCAGAUUCAUCUCAUCUCUGGUUGACUUCCUCUCAUUCUUAAAUUUUGCAGUACUGGUGAUUGAAUCCUUGGCCUCACGCAUGCUAGGUAAGCAUUCUCUGAGCUACAUGUCCAGCCAUUUUUUUUUUUUUAAUUUUGAGAUGGUCUUGCUAAAUUGCUCAGGCUGGUUUCUAACUUGUGACCCUCCUGCCUCAGCCUCACAAGUAGCUGGGAUAAGAAGUGUGUGCCACUAUGCCCGACAUUCCUCUCAUUCUCAGGCAUCUUAUUCCUAAAGGUUACCACUCUCACAGGCUCCAGAAUUCCACUAGUCUUUGUAAGGAAAAUAAAAUAAGGGUGACACAGACACAAGAUGCAGAGGCAGGAAAAGUGACUGCUUGUCCAAGUGGGCACGUUUAUUUAUAUCAAUAAUUUACAUUAGAUCAUUAGUACCAUAUCUACAUUAUUGUUUAUACAGUGUCAGUAAGAUUGCUUAUUCUGCAGUUACAGUUACAAUAUGCAGUGUCAGGAGAUUUGUGCAGCUCUUAAGAAAAUCCAUUGUAUAAAGUUACUAUUAUGUGGACAGAUUUAGGUUCAGUGAAUCAUUGUGGUUUUCUAACAAGAGAGUCCCUAUAUUCCCCAGGAGCUGUGUGCCUGAGAUGAAGGUUGAAGCUGAUACGACUUUAACAGAGCUUUCUUGUGAAGGACAUCUCUAAAGCAGCCAGGCAUCCCAUGUCUUUACACAGAAGUUUCCCAGCAGCCAGGCAUUCUGUGCCUUUGCACAGAAACUUCCUAGCCACUAAGCAUGCCACAAUCACAAAGUUUAUCAGAGACCCCCAGUCCCAAACACAGAGCCCUUACAAGUCUUCACAAACCUUGAUUCUUAAUUUGUUGAGAGUUGAAGUCUUCAGAAAUGAGUCUUUUAGCUCCAGGUUCUCUACUUCAAUAUUUAUCUUUUCUUUCAAUCUCAGGAGGAAGUGCCUCCCUUGCCGUAAGUAUAACCUCUCUAAUUAAACCUGGAUUUUUCCUCUCCUGCUUGUGUUUGGGACUUGCACCAUUAUAUCUUCUUUAUCUUGCAUUUGUCUUCCCACUUUUACUGAAUCCUUAACCAAAAUGAAUGAACAUGUCUCCCUUUUCCCAAAACAUUCCUGCUCAAGAUGCUUGUGAAAAGAUUCUCAAUGUUUUCAUUACAAAAUUUCUUCAGAGUAUCAUUCUUGUUGACCAUUUCCUGUCUCUACAGCUGAUUAAUUCUCAUACUGCUUUUAUUUCUAAAAUAUACUGUGUGUUAGUAUUGAGUGCCUACUAUGUCAAGCACUAGACUAGAUAUUGGAUGUUCAUAGGGAGUUAAAAAGACAUGAUCACUGACCUCAGGAAUUGACAGUUUAGUAUAAUGCCUUUCAGACAUUUUAAAAAUCAGACCAAAGUAAAAAAUAUAUUUUACAUUGUGCCUUAACACACAUUUAUGCAUACCUAAUAAGCUUAACAAUACGAUGCUUGUUCCUUACUAUUUACUUCUCUGAUAUUUUCCUUUUUUUUUUUUGUGUGUGUGUAUGUGUCUUUUAAAAAUUGGUUCUGCGUGCAGUGGCACAAACCUGUAAUCCCAGUGGCUCAGGAGGCUGAGGCAGAAGGAUUGUGAGUUCAAAGACAGCCUCAACAAAAGCAAGGCCCUAAGCAACUCAGAGAGACCUUGUCUCAAAAUACAAAAUAGGGCUAGGAUGUGGCUCAGUGGUCAAGUGCCCCUAAGUUCAAUCCCUGGUGCCCGCCCCACACACCAAAAAAAAAAAAAUUGGUCUUUUUUGUUGGGGGUACUGUGGAUGGAACCUAGGGGCACUUAAGCACUCAGCCACAACCCCAGCCCUUUUUACUUUUUAUUGUUCUUAUCACUCAUUAAUAUAUCAAGACCUCAGUUUUAAAAUCUUUGGCUUAGGAGAAGAUAAUUAGUUACAAGAUAAAAAUGGUAUUAAGGAAAAGCUGAGAUAGUGAUUAACAGGCAAUAAUAGGGAUUACCUAGGUAGAACUACCAGGAAGAUGACAUUUAAACAGGAUAAGAAGAAAGCCAUGCAAAGUGGGUGGAUGGGGAGGAGAGUAUUCAAGGUUAUGUCAGUUAUUGCUGUGUAACAAACCAUUCUAAAACUUAAUAGCUUAAAACAAGAAUCAUUUUACUCAUAAAUAUACAAUUCGAACAGGCUUUGGUAGGGAUAGCGUAUUUGAUCCAACAGCAUUAACUAGGAGAAUUUAACUGGAGCCAGAAAUAUCUUCCAAGAUAGCUUAUUCACAUGGCUGGCAAAUGAGUUUGUUGUAUGCUGGGAGCUCUUUGGUGACUGGACUGAGGGCUUUGGUUCCUCUCCAUGUGGACUGCCUGGACUUCCUCACAAGCAGGUGGAUGGGUUCCAAGAACAAGCAACCAAAGAAGCAGGGCAGAACCUAUUUUAUGCCACAGCUUUGGAAGUAAUAUAGUAUCACUUCUGGGGUCUCAAGCACAAAUUCAAGGAGAGGGAACACAGUUACUCAUCCCCACAGAAGGAAUUUCAUAGUCAUAAGAUCUGCAAUGAGAUUUCAGUGGCAAGUACAAUUUGCCAAACAGAACAGCAUACAGGAAGGCUCUAAAGCAGGAAAGACUGGGCUUCUUGACAGUGUUGAGGGAAUAGGCAAACAAGGUGGAAAAUCAGGAAAGGUGAAGGUGGAGAUGGGUAGAGACCAGAUCAUGUAGAGACUGAUAGGCUACAGGAGAGCUUGGUCUUAAGUGCGACAAGAAGUUUUAAUAAAGAUUACUGUUCUGUGGAGAAUGGACUGGAAUGAAGCAAGAUUGGGAGUGGCCAGUAGUUGGAAGCUACUGCUGAGGUGCAGGCAAGUGCCAUGGAAAGAAGUGGACAGUGUUCGGCCCUUGUUAAAAAUUAAGGAUGGCGGGGAUGGGGCUGUAGCUCAGUGGCAGAGUGCUUGCCUAGCAUGUGUGAGGCACUGGGUUCCAUCCUCAGCACCACAUUAAAAAAAAUAAAAAAAAAAACCUAAGGCAUGCUGUCCAUCUACAACUAUAAAAAAAUUUUUAAAAAUUAGGGAUAGCAAUGAGUUGAAAUGCAUUCUGCUGUCAUAUAUAACUAAUUAGAACAAAUUUUUAAAAGAAAAAAAAAUGAGGGAUGGAUGAUUCCUAUUUUCAGGACAUGGCUUAAUUUUGGUUCAUUUAAAAAGGAAAUAAUGAGACUAUGUUAACUUGCUAGGGCUACCAUAACACCCACUGAUUGGAUGGCUCCAAGUUCAAGAUAGGGUGUCUUCUGAGACCUUGGCUUGUGGACAAGCACCCCAUAUUCCCACAGCUUCCCUCUGAAUGCAUGCAUAUCUGUGAGGUCCUCUUAGGACCUCAGUCACAUCGAUUAAGGCCCACUCAAACACUUCAUUUUAACUCAAUUGCCUCUUUAACGACCUGAUCUCUACAUAUGGCUACAUUUUUCUAUUUUUUAGAAGAGGAAGAACAGGUGUGGAUGCAGG
Molecule: long non-coding RNA, 3599 nt
Filed under: Marmota monax (woodchuck)
Lineage: Eukaryota; Metazoa; Chordata; Mammalia; Rodentia; Sciuridae
Source: RNAcentral